RNAcentral lists this ribosomal RNA (1861 nucleotides) under Clostridioides difficile. RNAcentral describes it as "partial 23S ribosomal RNA". It matches the Rfam family "Bacterial large subunit ribosomal RNA", at positions 1 to 1843 of the family's 2925-position model. The record is from RNAcentral. Lineage: Bacteria; Bacillati; Bacillota; Clostridia; Peptostreptococcales; Peptostreptococcaceae.
AGAGAAGAUGGUAAGGGCAAACGGUGGAUGCCUUGGCACAGGAAGCCGACGAAGGACGUGACAAGCUGCGAUAAGCCGCGGUUAGGGGCACUUGCCCGCUCGACCCGCGGAUCUCCGAAUGGGCGAACCCGACGGGAGUCAUUUCCCGUCACCGCCGGCCGAACACAUAGGCCGGUGGGAGGCAACCGGGGGAACUGAAACAUCUAAGUACCCCGAGGAAGAGAAAUCAAUCGAGAUUCCCCUAGUAGUGGCGAGCGAACGGGGACCUAGGACAAACCGGCGGCCGCGCAAGCGCCGCCGGGGUUGUAGGGCCAAGCACUGCGCAGUUACAAAACCUCGUGGAAGCGGAACGGCAUGGGAAGGCCGGCGGGACAGGGUUAGAGCCCCGUACGCGAAUCCGCGAGGACUGCCGCUUGGUUCCUGAGUACCGCCGGACACGUGAAACCCGGUGGGAAGCUGGGGGGUCCACCCUCCAAUCCUAAAUACUCUCCUGUGACCGAUAGUGGACCAGUACCGUGAGGGAAAGGUGAAAAGCACCCCGGGAGGGGAGUGAAAUAGUACCUGAAACCGUUUGCCUACAAGCAGUCGGAGCGGCGCUUGCGCCGUGACGGCGUGCCUUUUGUAGAAUGAGCCAGCGAGUUACGGCGCGUGGCGAGGUUAAGCCACGAAGCGAGCCGCAGCGAAAGCGAGUCCGAAACGGGCGAGCAGUCGCGCGCCGUAGACGCGAAGCCGGGUGAGCUAUCCAUGGGCAGGCUGAAGCGGGGGUAAGACCCCGUGGAGGGCCGAACCCACCUAGGUUGAAAACUGGGGGGAUGACCUGUGGAUAGGAGUGAAAGGCCUAUCAAACCCGGAGAUAUCUCGUUCUCCCCGAAAUAGCUUUAGGGCUAGCCUCGGACGUUUACCUGCGGGGGUAGAGCACUGAAUGGACGCGGGGGCCUCACCGCCUACCAACUCCAAUCAAACUCCGAAUACCGCCGGUCCAGAGUCCGGGAGUCAGAACAUGUGGGCUAAGCUGUGUGUUCGAAAGGGAAACAGCCCAGACCGCCCGCUAAGGUCCCGAAGUCCGUGCUAAGUGGCAAAGGAUGUGCGUUUGCCUAGACAACCAGGAUGUUGGCUUAGAAGCAGCCAUUCAUUUAAAGAGUGCGUAAUAGCUCACUGGUCGAGUGGACAUGCGCCGACAAUAUACGGGGCUAAGCACGGCACCGAAGCGGCGGACUAGAUUCGUCUAGUGGUAGGGGAGCUUUCCGUCUGGGGCGAAGCCGCGGGACGACCCGCGGUGGACCGGCCGGAAGUGAGAAUGCUGGCAUGAGUAACGAGAGCGGCGUGGGAAACGCCGCCGCCGUAAACCCAAGGUUUCCUGGGCGAGGCUAAUCCUCCCAGGGUCAGUCGGGAGCUAAGGCGAGGCCGGAAGGCGUAGCCGAUGCACAGCAGGUCGACAUUCCUGCACCCCCGAACGGGCGUCAUCACCGAUGGGGCGACGGAGAAGGGUAGCUGGACGGGGUUCUGGACGUCCCCGCGAUGGCACGUAGGCCGCAGGGUAGUGAAACGCGCCCUGCGCGAAGGCUGAGGUGCCGGACGAAGCGAAUGAGCGAAGCCAGUGAGCCCAUGCUUCCAAGAAAACCCCCUAGGGAGCCCGCAGGGGCCCGUACCGCAAACCGACACAGGUGGGUGGGUAGAGCAUACCAAGGCGAUCGGGAGAACCAUGGUUAAGGAACUCGGCAAAAUUGCCCCGUAACUUCGGGAGAAGGGGUGCCGCCUCGGGUGGAGGGACUUGCUCCCCGAGCCCAGGGCGGCCACAGUAAAUAGGCCCAAGCGACUGUUUAUCAAAAACACAGGACUCUGCUGAAGUCGUAAGACGACG